UUCAAGGGUAAGCUAAAUUAAGCUGUUGGGCUCAUAACCCAAAAAUGAAUGAUUUCCCCUUGAAG
RNAcentral lists this transfer RNA (65 nucleotides) under Lactiforis takii. RNAcentral describes it as "tRNA-Met". The record is from RNAcentral. Lineage: Eukaryota; Metazoa; Mollusca; Gastropoda; Amphibolidae.